Molecule: RNA transcript, 871 nt
Organism: Tribolium castaneum (red flour beetle)
Lineage: Eukaryota; Metazoa; Arthropoda; Insecta; Coleoptera; Tenebrionidae
Exons: 2
Source: RefSeq, a predicted model, not a curated record
CGCAUCUGCAACCGCGGAUGUUGAAAAAUCUGCAUCUAAAGGUCUGAUUUAUUUAUUAGAAAUACAAUUUUGAAUUUUCAAAAAUAGAUAAAUUGUAUGCAGAAACGUUAACUGAGUUGCCUACUUCGGAAAGUCAAUUGUCAUUAUAUGUUGCACUAGUACACCGAAAGAUGGGGCAACCGGCAAAGUCAAAUGUCAAAAUCACUACGUCAAAAUAUUAUCAACAACAAAUCACUUUCAUCUUUUCUUCGGUGACUUUUCUUGCGUUUAUUGAAGAACACAAAAUAAGAAAAACAAUGGUACAAGAAAAACGAUAUGGUGUUGAUAGUCGAUUGAUUGACGAAUUAAAAGUUCUACAGUUAAAGAGAAGGAAAAGAGCAAUGUUUCAACAAUUGGCCUUUGUGUCUUUCAAUAAUGGUGGAGAGACCGAAAUGAUGGUGACGGCUUCCCACAAGCGAAUAACCGUUGAUCUCAUACAGAAUUGUCGCCCGCCGGUUCAGGAGAUUGAUAGAAUUGAUGACACAACUGUUGAAAUAGUGAUGAGCGUUGCUCUGUUUAUAAGAAUAAGAUUCAGAAGUGCUGCUAGUUUAGACGCCUUUAAGAGAACGCUCGGAGAUCUAGCUGAAAAUGAUUCAUCAUCCUCAAGCUCGAGUGAAGAAUCCAAUGGGUCUACUUCGCCAGAGGGGUCCCAAACAUCAGUUUCAACCACAGACGAAACUAUGCUCACGUUACCGGGUGAAAUUUAAGUUUGUUAAAAAGCAAAUCACUCAAGUUUUUCAUAUUUUUAUUAUUUUCAUGGCAACUUAUUCAGCUAACUCUUAUAUUUUUCUAUUAAUAAAGGUGUAUCAUCAAUAAAAUAAUAAAUAAAUUA